UCUGCUGAAGUCAAGGAGCCCAGCGUGCCUGGGAAAUGUGAAAGGACCAAGACAACUUAGGGGUGGCUGAAGCUGUUGUUCCCCAUGUCCUCUGAGAUGUGGAAUUUAAUUGGAGCUGACAGAUGAACCUACCAUGUCAGGAGACAGCUGCCUUGGGUCUGCCUAGAAGCUUGGUGUCAAGGAAAGAAUGGUGGACUUGAAGACAGAAGUCUUGGAUUCAAAUGUCAGCCCCAACACAGUGUGACCAUGGAGAAGUUGCUUAACUUUCCUGAAUAUCACUUUCAUUGUCUGAAUAUCAAAGGCAGGAAAUGAGUGCCACAGAAGCUAUGUGAAUGUCUGAAAAUUUAUAUUAAUUUUGCACAAAAUGAAAAUUAUGUUGAAAAAUAUUUAAAUAAAUCAUAUUAUUAUAUUAUUGACA
This 418-nucleotide long non-coding RNA is filed under the name Monodelphis domestica (gray short-tailed opossum). RNAcentral describes it as "lncRNA (ENSMODG00000031255.2)". Lineage: Eukaryota; Metazoa; Chordata; Mammalia; Didelphimorphia; Didelphidae. The record is from RNAcentral.